Molecule: ribosomal RNA, 700 nt
Filed under: uncultured Gammaproteobacteria bacterium
Lineage: Bacteria; Pseudomonadati; Pseudomonadota; Gammaproteobacteria
Description: bacterial SSU rRNA
Rfam family: Bacterial small subunit ribosomal RNA
Source: RNAcentral
AUUGAACGCUGGCGGCAGGCCUAACACAUGCAAGUCGAGCGCGAAAGGCCUUCGGGUUGAGUAGAGCGGCGGACGGGUGAGUAACGCGUAGGAAUCUACCUGGUAGUGGGGGACAACUCGGGGAAACUCGAGCUAAUACCGCAUACGCCCUACGGGGGAAAGCGGGGGAUCUUCGGACCUCGUGCUAUCGGAUGAGCCUGCGUAGGAUUAGCUAGUUGGUGGGGUAAAGGCCUACCAAGGCGACGAUCCUUAGCUGGUCUGAGAGGAUGAUCAGCCACACCGGGACUGAGACACGGCCCGGACUCCUACGGGAGGCAGCAGUGGGGAAUAUUGCGCAAUGGGCGAAAGCCUGACGCAGCCAUGCCGCGUGUGUGAAGAAGGCCUUCGGGUUGUAAAGCACUUUCACUUGGGAAGAAAGGUUGCGUGUUAAUAGCACGUAGCUGUGACAUUACCUUGAGAAGAAGCACCGGCUAACUCCGUGCCAGCAGCCGCGGUAAUACGGAGGGUGCGAGCGUUAAUCGGAAUUACUGGGCGUAAAGCGCGCGUAGGCGGUUUGUUAAGUUGGAUGUGAAAGCCCCGGGCUCAACCUGGGAAUGGCACCCGAUACUGGCCGACUAGAGUACGAGAGAGGGAGGUAGAAUUCCACGUGUAGCGGUGAAAUGCGUAGAUAUGUGGAGGAAUACCGGUGGCGAAGGCGGCC